UUAGGAAUAUUCGUCAACGGGGGAAACCCUGAACGAGCAAUGCCGCGUGAAGGAUGACGGUCCUAUGGAUUGUAAACUUCUGUUGUUAGGGAAGAACGACCUAUGUAGGAAAUGACAUAGGAGUGACGGUACCUUUCAAGAAAGCUCCGGCUAACUACGUGCCAGCAGCCGCGGUAAUACGUAGGUG
This 187-nucleotide ribosomal RNA is filed under the name uncultured Bifidobacterium sp. RNAcentral describes it as "partial 16S ribosomal RNA". It matches the Rfam family "Bacterial small subunit ribosomal RNA", at positions 355 to 533 of the family's 1533-position model. Lineage: Bacteria; Bacillati; Actinomycetota; Actinomycetes; Bifidobacteriales; Bifidobacteriaceae. The record is from RNAcentral.